UAAGGCAGCAUGUUUAUUGUGAUCCUUCGUAUGAAUAUUCGUCUGUCCUGAUUGAUCCAUUUUGCCCGGCAACAUUUUCUUAUGUACAUUCAAAAGAUGAAAAUUUUAAUUGACACGCAGUCGACUGCCAAAGAUACACCAAAGACCAAAGACCACGUCAAUGUGCAGAACGAUUUGCGUUUACAAACGAGGCGAGUAGUGGGAAUGGAUCCAUAUAAGCCCCACGGGAUCAUACCUGCGGACCAGUUCCAGAAGACAGCGCAAUUAAGAUCCGGGAAGCUUCCUCGCUGGAUUGAGUAUUUAACAAAAAACUACCACAAUUCAUGGAAAUGUGCCCAGAAACUACCACUUUACAAAUUUGUGCCGGAAACUACCACUAUUUGUCUAAUCUUUGACUAAAAACUACCGUGUCUGUAAAUCGGCGCAUCUGUUCAUUUUAAACACACUUAUGACAGGCCUGGCCCACAUGUAAGUGAUGGCAUCAUCAGUCAACGCUGUUUGUACCCGCUGCUGCUCCCCGUUCCGCCGCACACCUCGCCGCCGCUCGUAGCGCCCGCCGCUGCCGCCGUGCCCAAGACCUCCUCCUCCGCGCGAAAGACCUCGGCUCCGGCGCCGUCCUAGCAGCAGACUGUCCUGGCGGCGGCGCGACAGUAGACACCGGUCAUUUACUGCCAUGCGCUAAGGUCGAUGCCGUAGCCGCCGCCCCCGCCGACGGCCGUGAAGCUCCCCGACUGGGAUAGCAUCUGCUUCAAGAAGUCGGCUGGGAUGAACCCGUCAACGGCGCCGGCCGGCGCGCCUGCACCGCUGCCCUGGGUAGCUGCAGUAGACACCUCCGUGGUGACGGGGGAGCCGGGGAGGGGGCCUUGGCGCCGCCCUUGCCACAGCCGUUGCGCCUGUUCUUGCGGCCGCCGCCGAUGGGCACGUCGCGGAGCAUGCCGCCCUCGGUCCAGUGCCGGCGAGCGCAGCAGCGGCGCGUGGCCCGCGUGGCCCGCGUGCCUGCCCCUGCCUCACCUCCACCGCCACGAUGCCGCCCGCCGCGCCGACGCUGUUGCCAUCUCCAGUCCGCAACCAACGCCGGGGAGUGAAGAAGGCGGCCGUGGUGCCCGGUGGUGGUGUUACCCGGCUGCGGCAUGCGAGCGAGCUCAGGGGGAGUGGUGUCUAGGAGCUCCCCUGCUUCCGUCCCAUGCGCAAGAGGUGUUUGUUGAAAUGCCAAAGAAAGAAAGGAGGGGAGGAAGAAGAAGGUUGGUGAUGACGUGUGGGUCCCACCUAUCAGAAAGGCGUUUAGAAGAGGCGAAUCGGGCACUUUCGCGACAGGGUAGUUUUUAGUCAAAGAUUAGGCAAAAAGUGGUAGUUUUUGGCACAAAUUUGUAAAGUGGUAGUUUCUGGGUAUGUUUCCAUGAAUUGUGGUAGUUUUUGGUUAAAUACUCCGCUGGAUUCAACCGGAUCCACG
This 1450-nucleotide long non-coding RNA is filed under the name Triticum aestivum (bread wheat). Its description in RNAcentral is "long non-coding RNA (TAES_LNC014340)". The record is from RNAcentral. Lineage: Eukaryota; Viridiplantae; Streptophyta; Magnoliopsida; Poales; Poaceae.